Molecule: non-coding RNA, 28 nt
Filed under: Homo sapiens (human)
Lineage: Eukaryota; Metazoa; Chordata; Mammalia; Primates; Hominidae
Source: RNAcentral
UAUGUUGUGACAUCCCAUAUUCCUGGGU